This 492-nucleotide ribosomal RNA is filed under the name uncultured bacterium. RNAcentral's name for it is "partial 16S ribosomal RNA". It matches the Rfam family "Bacterial small subunit ribosomal RNA", at positions 29 to 507 of the family's 1533-position model. The record is from RNAcentral.
AGUGAACGCUGGCGGUAGGCCUAACACAUGCAAGUCGAACGGCGGCACAGUAAGAGCUUGCUCUUACGGGUGGCGAGUGGCGGACGGGUGAGGAAUACAUCGGAAUCUACUUUUUCGUGGGGGAUAACGUAGGGAAACUUACGCUAAUACCGCAUACGACCUACGGGUGAAAGCAGGGGAUCUUCGGACCUUGCGCGAUUGAAUGAGCCGAUGUCGGAUUAGCUAGUUGGCGGGGUAAAGGCCCACCAAGGCGACGAUCCGUAGCUGGUCUGAGAGGAUGAUCAGCCACACUGGAACUGGGACCCGGUCCAGACUCCUACGGGGGGGAGCAGGGGGGAAUUUUGGACAAGGGGGGAAAUCCUGAUCCCGACCUACCCGGUGGGUGAAAAAGGCCUUCGGGUUUUAAAGCCCUUUUGUUGGGAAAAAAAAGGAGCCGGGUAAAACCCCGCUGUUCUGACGGUACCCAAAGAAUAAGCACCGGCUAACUUCGUG